RNAcentral lists this ribosomal RNA (433 nucleotides) under uncultured bacterium. RNAcentral's name for it is "partial 16S ribosomal RNA". It matches the Rfam family "Bacterial small subunit ribosomal RNA", at positions 29 to 507 of the family's 1533-position model. The record is from RNAcentral.
AACGAACGCUGGCGGCAUGCCUAACACAUGCAAGUCGAACGAGACCUUCGGGUCUAGUGGCGCACGGGUGCGUAACGCGUGGGAACCUGCCCUUAGGUUCGGAAUAACUCCCCGAAAGGGGUGCUAAUACCGGAUAAUGUCUUCGGACCAAAGAUUUAUCGCCUUUGGAUGGGCCCGCGUUGGAUUAGCUAGUUGGUAGGGUAAAAGCCUACCAAGGCGACGAUCCAUAGCUGGUCUGAGAGGGUGAUCAGCCACACUGGGACUGAGACACGGCCCAGACUCCUACGGGAGGCAGCAGUGGGGAAUAUUGGACAAUGGGCGAAAGCCUGAUCCAGCAAUGCCGCGUGAGUGAUGAAGGCCUUAGGGUUGUAAAGCUCUUUUACCCGGGAUGAUAAUGACAGUACCGGGAGAAUAAGCUCCGGCUAACCCCGUG